This 897-nucleotide ribosomal RNA is filed under the name Phaeoacremonium sphinctrophorum. RNAcentral's name for it is "eukaryotic LSU rRNA". It matches the Rfam family "Eukaryotic large subunit ribosomal RNA", at positions 36 to 967 of the family's 3401-position model. Lineage: Eukaryota; Fungi; Ascomycota; Sordariomycetes; Togniniales; Togniniaceae. The record is from RNAcentral.
UAGCAUAUCAAUAAGCGGAGGAAAAGAAACCAACAGGGAUUGCCCCAGUAACGGCGAGUGAAGCGGCAACAGCUCAAAUUUGAAAUCUGGCCUCGGCCCGAGUUGUAAUUUGCAGAGGAUGCUUCUGGCGCGGCGCCUUCCGAGUUCCCUGGAACGGGACGCCAUAGAGGGUGAGAGCCCCGUAUGGUUGGAUGCCUAGCCUGUGUGAAGCUCCUUCGACGAGUCGAGUAGUUUGGGAAUGCUGCUCAAAAUGGGAGGUAUAUCUCUUCUAAAGCUAAAUACCGGCCAGAGACCGAUAGCGCACAAGUAGAGUGAUCGAAAGAUGAAAAGCACCUUGAAAAGGGGGUUAAAAAGCACGUGAAAUUGUUGAAAGGGAAGCGCCCAUGACCAGACUUGUGCCCGGCGGAUCACCCAGCGUUCUCGCUGGGGCACUCCGCCGGGCCCAGGCCAGCAUCGGUUUCCGCCGGGGGAUAAAGGCUCAGGGAACGUAGCUCCUCCGGGAGUGUUAUAGCCCUCUGCGUAAUACCCUGGCGGGGACCGAGGUACGCGCUCCGCAAGGAUGCUGGCGUAAUGGUCAUCAGCGACCCGUCUUGAAACACGGAUCAAGGAGUCGUCCAUUAGAGCGAGCGUUUGGGUGUCAAACCCGCACGCGUAAUGAAAGUGAACGUAGGUGAGAGCUUCGGCGCAUCAUCGACCGAUCCUGAUGUCCUCGGAUGGAUUUGAGUAUGAGUUUUACUGGACGGACCCGAAAGAUGGUGAACUAUGCCUGUAUAGGGUGAAGCCAGAGGAAACUCUGGUGGAGGCUCGCAGCGGUUCUGACGUGCAAAUCGAUCGUCAAAUAUGGGCAUGGGGGCGAAAGACUAAUCGAACCAUCUAGUAGCUGGUUAGCGCCGAAGU